AACGAACGCUGGCGGCAUGCCUAACACAUGCAAGUCGAACGAGACCUUCGGGUCUAGUGGCGCACGGGUGCGUAACGCGUGGGAACCUGCCCUUAGGUUCGGAAUAACUCCCCGAAAGGGGUGCUAAUACCGGAUAAUGUCUUCGGACCAAAGAUUUAUUGCCUUUGGAUGGGCCCGCGUUGGAUUAGCUAGUUGGUAGGGUAAAAGCCUACCAAGGCGACGAUCCAUAGCUGGUCUGAGAGGAUGAUCAGCCACACUGGGACUGAGACACGGCCCAGACUCCUACGGGAGGCAGCAGUGGGGAAUAUUGGACAAUGGGCGAAAGGCUGAUCCAGCAAUGCCGCGUGAGUGAUGAAGGCCUUAGGGUUGUAAAGCUCUUUUACCCGGGAUGAUAAUGACAGUACCGGGAGAAUAAGCACCGGCUAACUACGUG
RNAcentral lists this ribosomal RNA (433 nucleotides) under uncultured bacterium. RNAcentral describes it as "partial 16S ribosomal RNA". It matches the Rfam family "Bacterial small subunit ribosomal RNA", at positions 29 to 507 of the family's 1533-position model. The record is from RNAcentral.